This 466-nucleotide ribosomal RNA is filed under the name uncultured bacterium. RNAcentral's name for it is "partial 16S ribosomal RNA". It matches the Rfam family "Bacterial small subunit ribosomal RNA", at positions 28 to 507 of the family's 1533-position model. The record is from RNAcentral.
GACGAACGCUGGCGGCGUGCUUAACACAUGCAAGUCGAACGGUAAGGCUCCAGCUUGCUGGGGUACACGAGUGGCGAACGGGUGAGUAACACGUGGGUGACCUGCCCUGCACUUCGGGAUAAGCCUGGGAAACUGGGUCUAAUACCGGAUAGGAGCAUGGUGUGGAUACUGUGGGGGAAAGUUUUUUCGGUGUGGGAUGGGCCCGCGGCCUAUCAGCUUGUUGGUGGGGUAAUGGCCUACCAAGGCGGCGACGGGUAGCCGGCCUGAGAGGGUGGACGGCCACAUUGGGACUGAGACACGGCCCAGACUCCUACGGGAGGCAGCAGUGGGGAAUAUUGCACAGUGGGCGGAAGCCUGAUGCAGCAACGCCGCGUGGGGGAUGACGGCCUUCGGGUUGUAAACUCCUUUCGCCAUCGACGAAGGGUUUCUGACGGUAGUUGGUGAAGAAGCACCGGCUAACUACGUG